RNAcentral lists this unclassified non-coding RNA (339 nucleotides) under Hevea brasiliensis (rubber tree). The record is from RNAcentral. Lineage: Eukaryota; Viridiplantae; Streptophyta; Magnoliopsida; Malpighiales; Euphorbiaceae.
UUUAUUUUUUGAUAAUUUGGAACGCGAUUCGAAGAUCUGAGCAUACGGGGUCGAAAGAGGAAAAUUCCCAGGUCUGUUAAUAACCCUGAGUCUAGAAAUGGAGGAGAGAAGAAUUGGGCAUCGCUGGUAUAGAGAUUGAGAGCAAGAAGAGCUCAACAUUAGGACCUAUUAGAGACCGUAAUUAUUUGCAUCCCAUGAACUCUUGAUUUAUUUACUCUCGGAUUGGAUUGCAAAAACCCUAACCAAGAGAGAGAUAGAGAUUUGGGUAUGGUUUGGCAGUUGGGAGGAGGCAAUACUGGAUGUGAGAUGAGCAACUAGGAAAUAGAUUCGUUUUAACCU